This is a non-coding RNA of Lamprotornis superbus, 76 nucleotides long. The record is from the annotation of a GenBank genome assembly. NCBI's taxonomy places the organism in Eukaryota, Metazoa, Chordata, Aves, Passeriformes, Sturnidae.
GAUCUGUUCUAGCUCAGCUGGUCAGAGCAUGGUGCUAAUAAUGGCAAGAUUGUAGGUUUGAUUCCCAUAUGGGCCA